UAAAGCCCCGAAUUUGUAGCAUUUGCCCACGUCUGUGGUGUCAGUUAAUACUCCUGUUAUGGCCAAUUUCUAACUGCCUGGGAUGAACAAAUGGUUCACAAAAUCCUUGAAAAUGUAAUAGCACUUCCAUGCCAGGGCCAGCCUGCUCCAGCACUGUGCACGGCCUGCUUUAACGUCUGGUGGCCAUGGUCACUGUUGUCCCCCUCUGGGCACAGCCUGUGCAGAAGACAGAGGGAAGGCCCAGGGAGCGAUGUGUGACACCCUGUCCGGCUCCUGGAACCAUCGCUGAUUGGUGUAUGGGAGGGUCACCCCCCAGGGAGGCCAUUCCAUUGUCUGGACAAUGCCAUAUGUCUUGGCAUAAAGAAAUAAGUAGAGCCGAAACCGUUGACCAGAAUCCCUCCUGGGAGCUUGAGGAAAGGAAUCCCAUGUAUGUUUUGCCAGAGGCAGGAACUAAAAAGGGUGCCGUUUGAGAGCUGAACCCAUGACAGACUGAAGUCACACAGCAGCCGAAGAUGUGAUUG
Long non-coding RNA from Pipistrellus kuhlii (Kuhl's pipistrelle), 521 nucleotides. RefSeq lists it as uncharacterized. NCBI's taxonomy places the organism in Eukaryota, Metazoa, Chordata, Mammalia, Chiroptera, Vespertilionidae. The transcript has 2 exons. The record is from RefSeq and is a predicted model, not a curated record.